CGAAAAUCCCUAAAAGCAAUCGUGUAAGUCAGACGGAAUAUUGCAUGUCUCGGAAAUAGCUGUUGCAUCACUGCACUGGACGCGAAGGUGCGUCGUAGCAGCUUGCUUUAGUCGCGAGGAAGGACUGAACCGGUGAAGUACAAGACAAAACACGUUUGCGCAACAUGACGUAAUCAAAAGGUCACUGUGUCGCAAAUUUCAGAUCUAUUGGAACGGGGUUCAUGUUCUACUUCGCGAGGUUUCCCUAUGCAUGACUCUUACGCCAGGCGAUUUCUCUCGUCGGAGAAAUUGCCUUCGAGUUGGAAACCAAUCUAACAGCAUGGGUGAUGAGAGGUAGCGAGAGCCGUUCAUUGAUAAAACGUUAAGGAUUCGCUGCAUCGUCAGAAGAUAAAAGCCCGGGUAUGAGGCCCAGUCCAAACCCGCAAAGCCCUUCCUUCCUCCUUCACUCAGGUAAUCUCAGGCUGGGGGAAGGAGGUUGGAAAUAACCGGCUUUGAGCUCCGGCUGUACGAGUAUUUCUGGCCGAGAGCACGUGAGCUGUGACGUCACGCUGUCUGGCCACGCCCUUUUCUACUCUAACUCGGCAACCAUUUUUUUGUGUUGAGGCUUCUACUAUCUCGUGUUUUCCGUACACGUAUAUAACUUCGAUUUCUCAGGAUAGGGCGAACAGGGUGUUGGUGAACCAGAAGUCAACACUUCACUCGGUUUUCCCGCGUGUCCUAACGACCAAAUUUCUGAAGGAUGCAAACGUUUCCUCUUCCUCUGCUUUCCUGUGUAAUCCCCCCUUUUCGCCUCUUGUAGCAGAAUGUUGACUCUCAUAAAACAACACUUUUUUGACAUUUAUUAUCUUCAUAUAUAUCACCGUUUGCCAUUUGCUAAAACUCUUGUUCAGCGGUUUCUACACCCACUCUAAGGAAGUUAUAGUUUGCUCUCGUACCACACAAAGGAGGAAUUUUUUUUUUCUCUAUAUUCUAUUCUUUUUUAAAAUUCACUUUCUAAUAGAAAUCGUAGGCGAAAAUCUUUGCAAUUUUUGUUUUAUAGAUUCACAGCAAUGGCGAAGCGAGAUCAGGAUCGGUCCGAAUCUGUACUCGCGAAGAUCUAUAAGAAAUUAAAGCAAAAGAAAAUACCCCAAAGAAGGGCACAUAAACUCACAAACACACAAACAAACACCACCAACCAACCAACCAGCGAUGAAACACACACAAACACAAACAAAGAAACAAACACACAAACACACAUAGGCCUACAUAUUACAUCCAUAGGUUGCGGAUGCAUCACAGCAGCGUCGAGAGCUGGCGUGACCAAAGGGAGGGUCUGGGAUGUGAGAAGCAUGAUCUUUUGGUCUAUAAAUACCUGAAGCGGGAGACACGGGGGGCUAGGGUAAAAAAGGGGAGUAUUUCCGGAGGAAGUCCGCGGCUUGAAGGAGGCGCUUGAGUUCCUCCGAGCGAAGGUCUUCGGGGAAGUCCUGGUUCCUCUGACUAUCCUUCCCCACGGCUAACCUCUAGGACUCUCAGCCUCGGCAGAGCGUGCGAUCUUCACUCGGCUCUGAAAUGUGAAGAAAUUGUACAAGUCAUUUGGUCUACUUGAGGGUUCUAUGUCAUGCUUACUCGAACUGUAAUGCUCAAUACAUAUAAGGCGUUAUUUGCAGGGUCUGUAGUGCAGUGAGGAAGAAAACACGUGGGGGGUAACAGACAGGAAAUAGUAGAAGGGUGAACAAAGGUACAAACGAAGAACGAAAGAGGGACAAAAAAGCGCGUCACAAAUAGAGAUGAUCUUGAGGCCACGAGCGAGUGACGCACGCGAUGGGUACUUGCAAAAAACAUCACGUUUCUCUACUGAUUUACAUAAAUGGAUGGAGGAAUAUAUAUCUAUACAAAAACUGUCACACACGCACACACACACACACAAACAUUAUCAUAGUAAGCCAUAUAAAAAGCAUCAUUGAAAAAAUUAUGCCAACAAAACAAUCAUGUCAAAACAAAGACAAGAGAGAAAGAGAGGAGAGAAAAGGAAGUUUUUCACUUAAUAAAAACACAUUAGCUUUACUCUUAACUUAUCAAGAAUCGGAGAAGAUAUAAUGUCUUUAAGCAAUCUAUUCCAAAGCUUACAGAAAGCAAUUAAAAGAAAAAAGAAAAGAAAACUGAGU
Molecule: non-coding RNA, 2144 nt
Organism: Penaeus vannamei (Pacific white shrimp)
Lineage: Eukaryota; Metazoa; Arthropoda; Malacostraca; Decapoda; Penaeidae
Source: RefSeq, a predicted model, not a curated record